This 426-nucleotide ribosomal RNA is filed under the name Triticum aestivum (bread wheat). RNAcentral describes it as "partial small subunit ribosomal RNA". The record is from RNAcentral. Lineage: Eukaryota; Viridiplantae; Streptophyta; Magnoliopsida; Poales; Poaceae.
AUGAUCUGCUUAAAGGCACGGCUGGAGCUGUUCUCAGGAAGAUUCAUUGUUGGCGGAAACUGGAAAAUUGAUCGGUGUACGGAUGUUUCGACAUCAGAAGUGUUGGCCCUAAGGUUUGGAUUACUCCUUGCACAAAGGGUGGGAUGCAAUCAUCUUGUUAUUAACUCUGAUAAUAUGGAAGUAAUCAACACAAUGAAGAAUGGAGGAUAAUUGGCAGGAGCGGCGGCGGCAACCUUUGAUGAUUGCUAUUUUUUGGCUUGUGAUUUUCCUCUUACUAAGUUUGAACAUUGUAAUAGGGAAGCAAAUAAGUUCACUCAUGAACUUGCUAGGUUAGCGAAAUUUUCUGCGACUAGGGACAGUUUUGAGGAGACCUUGGACGAAAUUGUAACUUUUCUUAUUGACCAUAUAACUAUUAUUUCUAAUUAA